ACGGAAGGCAGCAGUCGGGAAUAUUGCGCAAUGGAGGAAACUCUGACGCAGUGACGCCGCGUAUAGGAAGAAGGUUUUCGGAUUGUAAACUAUUGUCGUUAGGGAAGAUACAAGACAGUACCUAAGGAGGAAGCUCCGGCUAACUACGUGCCAGCAGCCGCGGUAAUACGUAGGGAGCAAGCGUUAUCCGGAUUUAUUGGGUGUAAAGGGUGCGUAGACGGGAAAUUAAGCUAGUUGUGAAAUCCCUCGGCUCAACUGAGGAACUGCAACUAAAACUGGUUUUCUUGAGUGUUGGAGAGGAAAGUGGAAUCCCUAGUGUAGCGGUGAAGUGCGUAGAUAUUAGGAAGAACACCGGUGGCGAAGGCGACUUUCUGGACAAUAACUGACGUUGAGGCACGAAAGUGUGGGGAGCAAACAGGAUUAGAUACCCUGGUA
This 435-nucleotide ribosomal RNA is filed under the name uncultured Oscillospiraceae bacterium. Its description in RNAcentral is "bacterial SSU rRNA". It matches the Rfam family "Bacterial small subunit ribosomal RNA", at positions 341 to 792 of the family's 1533-position model. The record is from RNAcentral. Lineage: Bacteria; Bacillati; Bacillota; Clostridia; Eubacteriales; Oscillospiraceae.